Long non-coding RNA from Oncorhynchus keta (chum salmon), 727 nucleotides. RefSeq lists it as uncharacterized. The record is from RefSeq and is a predicted model, not a curated record. The transcript has 4 exons. Lineage: Eukaryota; Metazoa; Chordata; Actinopteri; Salmoniformes; Salmonidae.
UAUGUGUCCUCCUGCCACAACCUGAGGGACAGCCAGUGAAAAGUGCAAAGUAAUGUCCAUAAUAUUUCCCAACUUGUUUUGUUUUGUCUUUCAUACCAGGUCAUGUGUCUUCUCAGUCAUGUUGACACUGGUCUACUACCAGGUCAUGUGUCUUCUCAGUCAGGUUGACACUGGUCUACUACCAGGUCAUGUGUCUUCUCAGUCAUGUUGACACUGGUCUACUACCAGGUCAUGUGUCUUCUCAGUCAUGUUGACACUGGUCUACUACCAGGUCAUGUGUCUUCUCAGUCAGGUUGACACUGGUCUACUACCAGGUCAUGUGUCUUCUCAGUCAGGUUGACACUGGUCUACUACCAGGUCAUGUGUCUUCUCAGUCAUGUUGACACUGGUCUACUACCAGGGCAUGUGUCUUCUCAGUCAUGUUGACACUGGUCUACUACCAGGUCAUGUGUCUUCUCAGUCAGGUUGACACUGGUCUACUACCAGGUCAUGUGUCUUCUCAGUCAGGUUGACACUGGUCUACUACCAGGUCAUGUGUCUUCUCAGUCAUGUUGACACUGGUCUACUACCAGGUCAUGUGUCUUCUCAGUCAGGUUGACACUGGUCUACUACCAGGUCAUGUGUCUUCUCAGUCAUGUUGACACUGGUCUACUACCAGGUCAUGUGUCUUCUCAGUCAUGUUGACACUGGUCUACUACCAGGUCAUGUGUCUUCUCAGACAUGUUGA